GACGAACGCUGGCGGCGUGCUUAACACAUGCAAGUCGAACGGAAAGGCCCUGCUUUUGUGGGGUGCUCGAGUGGCGAACGGGUGAGUAACACGUGAGUAACCUGCCCUUGACUGUGUGAUAACUUCAGGAAACUGGGGCUAAUACCGGAUAGGAGCUCCUGCUGCAUGGUGGGGGUUGGAAAGUUUCGGCGGUUGGGGCUGGACUCGCGGCUUAUCAGCUUGUGGGUGGGGUAGUGGCUUACCAAGGCUUUGGCGGGUGGCCGGCCUGAGAGGGUGAACGGCCACAUUGGGACUGAGAUACGGCCCAGACUCCUACGGGAGGCAGCAGUGGGGAAUAUUGCACAAUGGGCGGACGCGUGAUGCAGAAACGCCGCGUGCGGGAUGACGGCCUUCGGGUUGUAAACCGCUUUAGCCUGUGACGAAGCGUGAGUGACGGUAAUGGGUAAAGAAGCACCGGCUAACUACGUG
This 468-nucleotide ribosomal RNA is filed under the name uncultured bacterium. RNAcentral describes it as "partial 16S ribosomal RNA". It matches the Rfam family "Bacterial small subunit ribosomal RNA", at positions 28 to 507 of the family's 1533-position model. The record is from RNAcentral.